Molecule: ribosomal RNA, 255 nt
Filed under: uncultured bacterium
Lineage: Bacteria
Description: partial 16S ribosomal RNA
Rfam family: Bacterial small subunit ribosomal RNA
Source: RNAcentral
CGGACGGGUGAGUAACGCGUGGGUAACCUGCCUCAUACAGGGGGAUAACAGUUAGAAAUGACUGCUAAUACCGCAUAAGCGCACGAGAUCGCAUGAUAAAGUGUGAAAAACUCCGGUGGUAUGAGAUGGACCCGCGUCUGAUUAGCUGGUUGGUGGGGUAACGGCCCACCAAGGCGACGAUCAGUAGCCGACCUGAGAGGGUGACCGGCCACAUUGGGACUGAGACACGGCCCAAACUCCUACGGGAGGCAGCAG